This 745-nucleotide ribosomal RNA is filed under the name uncultured bacterium. RNAcentral's name for it is "bacterial SSU rRNA". It matches the Rfam family "Bacterial small subunit ribosomal RNA", at positions 8 to 796 of the family's 1533-position model. The record is from RNAcentral.
AGAGUUUGAUCCUGGCUCAGAGCGAACGCUGGCGGCAGGCUUAACACAUGCAAGUCGAGCGGGCACCUUCGGGUGUCAGCGGCAGACGGGUGAGUAACACGUGGGAACGUACCCUUCGGUUCGGAAUAACUCUGGGAAACUAGAGCUAAUACCGGAUACGUCCGAGAGGAGAAAGGUUUACUGCCGAAGGAUCGGCCCGCGUCUGAUUAGCUAGUUGGUGGGGUAAUGGCCUACCAAGGCGACGAUCAGUAGCUGGUCUGAGAGGAUGAUCAGCCACAUUGGGACUGAGACACGGCCCAAACUCCUACGGGAGGCAGCAGUGGGGAAUAUUGGACAAUGGGCGCAAGCCUGAUCCAGCCAUGCCGCGUGAGUGAUGAAGGCCUUAGGGUUGUAAAGCUCUUUUGUCCGGGACGAUAAUGACGGUACCGGAAGAAUAAGCCCCGGCUAACUUCGUGCCAGCAGCCGCGGUAAUACGAAGGGGGCUAGCGUUGCUCGGAAUCACUGGGCGUAAAGGGCGCGUAGGCGGCCAUUCAAGUCGGGGGUGAAAGCCUGUGGCUCAACCACAGAAUUGCCUUCGAUACUGUUUGGCUUGAGACCGGAAGAGGUAAGUGGAACUGCGAGUGUAGAGGUGAAAUUCGUAGAUAUUCGCAAGAACACCAGUGGCGAAGGCGGCUUACUGGUCCGGGUUCUGACGCUGAGGCGCGAAAGCGUGGGGAGCAAACAGGAUUAGAUACCCUAGUAGUCC